GACGAACGCUGGCGGCGUGCUUAACACAUGCAAGUCGAACGGUGAACUCCGCUUGCGGGGGGAUCAGUGGCGAACGGGUGAGUAACACGUGGGCAACCUGCCCUCAGCUCUGGGAUAACUCCAAGAAAUUGGGGCUAAUACCGGAUAUGACCGCUGACCGCAUGGUCUGGUGGUGGAAAGAUUUAUCGGCUGGGGAUGGGCCCGCGGCCUAUCAGCUUGUUGGUGGGGUAGUGGCCUACCAAGGCGACGACGGGUAGCCGGCCUGAGAGGGUGACCGGCCACACUGGGACUGAGACACGGCCCAGACUCCAACGGGAGGCAGCAGGGGGGAAUAUUGCGCAAUGGGCGAAAGCCUGACGCAGCGACGCCGCGUGGGGGAUGACGGCCUUCGGGUUGUAAACCUCUUUCAGCAGGGACGAAGCGAAAGUGACGGUACCUGCAGAAGAAGCACCGGCCAACUACGUG
RNAcentral lists this ribosomal RNA (465 nucleotides) under uncultured bacterium. RNAcentral's name for it is "partial 16S ribosomal RNA". It matches the Rfam family "Bacterial small subunit ribosomal RNA", at positions 28 to 507 of the family's 1533-position model. The record is from RNAcentral.